UAUAUUUCACCAAUUUUAAGAAGUCCCUGACAUCAAAACAUGGCUUGUUUUGUUCCUGGACUCUUCAGUGAUGAUGAGCAGAGUCUGAGGGAACCUGCUUUCAGACAAUCACUAUUGCACACCAAAUGCUCUUGCUCAGCAGAUGGGGACAGCUACCAUCACCCAAUUUUCACCCAAAAGUGGCUGCGCUAUUCGCCAGACCGGGCAGGAGGGACUGGACGACAACUUAUGCAGGCAUCAGAUGACAGUGAAGUGUAAAUAAAGAGUAAAGAGGCUAAUAAACAUGAAUUUGAUUUUAAAUAGUGUGGUGUGUUCUGUGUUUUAUACAAGAUUUUAAAUGUUCCAUUAAUUUUUAACAUCCUGGCUGUAGAUAAAGCA
Long non-coding RNA from Carassius auratus (goldfish), 378 nucleotides. RefSeq lists it as uncharacterized. Lineage: Eukaryota; Metazoa; Chordata; Actinopteri; Cypriniformes; Cyprinidae. The transcript is spliced from 4 exons. The record is from RefSeq and is a predicted model, not a curated record.